Long non-coding RNA from Lycium barbarum (goji berry), 1252 nucleotides. RefSeq lists it as uncharacterized. The transcript has 6 exons. NCBI's taxonomy places the organism in Eukaryota, Viridiplantae, Streptophyta, Magnoliopsida, Solanales, Solanaceae. The record is from RefSeq and is a predicted model, not a curated record.
AGGUAUCACGUUGAGUAGGACUAAAAUAGAGUACAUGGAGAGCAAGUUAAUGCAAGGGUAAAAUGGUAAUUGACGUAACUGAUUUUUAUCAACACAGACAUAUUUAGCUCAGCCAAUUCAUCUUCUUUAUGUCCGUCUCUGUUUCUCUCACUUCAAGAUACUGAGGGCAUGACUCAACAAUUGCCAAGGCCCGAGAGGCAAAGGAAUAGGCAAAUUACUCAGUCAUCUUCCUCAAACUCCUCUUCUCCUUUGUGCUCAAACUGGCUAUAUUCUCAUCUUUACUACCAGUUUGUAUGUUGAAAGUGGGUUGCAUCGCAAUUGAUGGUGGGCCCUAGGACUCUUUAUUUCUAGUUUUCGCUCAUCGACAUACCGCACCAGAUGUGGAGACUAAAGGCGCAAUCAGUUGUCCAAACAUAUACAUAUCCAGUUGCAAGACACUUAAACGUUAUCCAAACAAACAAAGCUACGGGUUGGAGCAAAAAACAAGUCCUCUCCUAAGAAAAUGAUUGAUUAUUCAUCAAAGAAAAGGUCAAAGGAGUCACAUCACUGAGUGGUAUUUAUUGGGUCGCGAGAACUACCAGCUCCCUGAACAUAUCUAGAUAUAAGGAAGAAUACAAAGUAGCAUAUGUUUCCAGCAAUAUCAACCUCAUCUAUGUUCGAAGAUUCGAAAUGCAGAAGUGGGCUAAGAUGGAGUAGCAUGUAAGGAAUGAUAAUUUGGCCAUCAUCACUAUCACUUUAAGGGGGAACAGAUGGUUGUGAGGAUGGUUCUGACUAGAAUAUGCUUAUUUGGAGUUUGUUUUGUAUGAGUACUACGACGUCAUAUUCAGAUCUCACCUCAGGAAGACCACGUGUAACGUGGGUCUUAUACUGUGUCAGGGACUGUUUGAAUCUACUCCCAGCAACAGUUGAAGAGCUUUCACAGAAACUAUGGCCUGAACAUCGAUGUGUUCUCUAAGUUGUCAAGUUGCAUUUACACCGUUGAAGGAUCCUUGAGAACGCCUCCACUUUGAUUCUUUUUGUUCGUAGAUGGUGUAAACGCUGAUAGCAAUAUCAUGCACAGGGUUGAUCAUGUGGCAUAUGAUGAAGGAUAGGAAAUGAUUUUUUUUUUAAUCAGAUGUUCCGAUGGGGCAAGGAUAAAAAAUGAGUAAUCAAAUCAUAUGCACAAAGAAAAAAAGAUCAUAUGAUUGGGUUUGGUUUUGUAAGUGCAUUUUCAAAGAAAGCACAGCAAGCAAUAUUUGCUCAGUUCUACAUC